UACGUCGGGUCCGAGCGUUGUCCGGAGUUACUGGGCGUAAAGCGCGCGCAGGCGGCCCGCGAGGUGUCACGUGAAAGCCCCGGGCUCAACUCGGGAGGGUCGUGGCAAACCGGCGGGCUUGAGGCCGGUAGAGGUGGGUGGAACUCCUGGUGGAGUGGUGAAAUGCGUAGAGAUCAGGAAGAACACCCGUGGCGAAGGCGACUUUCUGGGCUGUAACUGACGCUGAGGCGCGAAAGCGUGGGGAGCAAACAGG
RNAcentral lists this ribosomal RNA (253 nucleotides) under uncultured bacterium. Its description in RNAcentral is "partial 16S ribosomal RNA". It matches the Rfam family "Bacterial small subunit ribosomal RNA", at positions 524 to 776 of the family's 1533-position model. The record is from RNAcentral.